GUGCUCACUUCGGCAGCCCAUAUACUAAAAUUGGGAAAAUAGAGAUUUUAGCAUGGCCCCUGUGCAAGGAUGACAUGAAAUCUGGGAAGUGUUCUCUAUUAAA
This is a small nuclear RNA of Suricata suricatta (meerkat), 103 nucleotides long. NCBI's taxonomy places the organism in Eukaryota, Metazoa, Chordata, Mammalia, Carnivora, Herpestidae. The record is from Ensembl.